CUGGCGGCGUGCCUAAUACAUGCAAGUCGAACGGUCUUUCUAUGGAAGCUUGCUUCCACUGAGAAGAUAGUGGCGAACGGGUGAGUAACACGUGGGUAACCUGCCCAUAAGAGGGGGGAUAACAUCCGGAAACGGGUGCUAAUACCGCAUAGUUUUCUUGAUCGCAUGAUCGGGAAAGGAAAGACGGCCUUUGUGCUGUCGCUUAUGGAUGGACCCGCGGCGUAUUAGUUAGUUGGUGAGGUAACGGCUCACCAAGACGAUGAUACGUAGCCGACCUGAGAGGGUGAUCGGCCACAUUGGGACUGAGACACGGCCCAAACUCCUACGGGAGGCAGCAGUAGGGAAUCUUCCGCAAUGGACGAAAGUCUGACGGAGCAACGCCGCGUGAGUGAAGAAAAGGUUUUCGGAUCGUAAAACUCUGUUGUCAGAGAAGAACAAGUUGGAGAGUAACUGCUCCAGCCUUGACGGUAUCUGACCAGAAAGCCACGGCUAACUACGUGCCAGCAGCGGC
This 511-nucleotide ribosomal RNA is filed under the name uncultured bacterium. RNAcentral describes it as "bacterial SSU rRNA". It matches the Rfam family "Bacterial small subunit ribosomal RNA", at positions 36 to 518 of the family's 1533-position model. The record is from RNAcentral.